UGCGUAGGCGGAUCAAUAAGUCAGUGGUGAAAUCUCUCGGCUCAACCGGGAAACUGCCAUUGAUACUGUUGAUCUUGAGUUCGGUUGAGGUAGGCGGAAUGUGUAAUGUAGCGGUGAAAUGCUUAGAUAUUACACAGAACACCAAUUGCGUAGGCAGCUUACUAGGCCGACACUGACGCUGAGGCACGAAAGCGUGGGGAGCGAACAGGAUUAGAUACCCUGGUAGUCC
Molecule: ribosomal RNA, 229 nt
Filed under: uncultured bacterium
Lineage: Bacteria
Description: partial 16S ribosomal RNA
Rfam family: Bacterial small subunit ribosomal RNA
Source: RNAcentral